Molecule: ribosomal RNA, 253 nt
Filed under: uncultured bacterium
Lineage: Bacteria
Description: partial 16S ribosomal RNA
Rfam family: Bacterial small subunit ribosomal RNA
Source: RNAcentral
UACGGGGGGGGCAAGCGUUGUUCGGAAUUACUGGGCGUAAAGGGCUCGUAGGCGGCCAACUAAGUCCGACGUGAAAUCCCCAGGCUUAACCUGGGAACUGCGUCGGAUACUGGAUGGCUUGAAUUCGGGAGAGGGAUGCAGAAUUCCAGGUGUAGCGGUGAAAUGCGUAGAUAUCUGGAGGAAUACCGGUGGCGAAGGCGGCAUCCUGGACCGACAUUGACGCUGAUGAGCGAAAGCUAGGAGAGCAAACGGG